RNAcentral lists this ribosomal RNA (466 nucleotides) under uncultured bacterium. RNAcentral describes it as "partial 16S ribosomal RNA". It matches the Rfam family "Bacterial small subunit ribosomal RNA", at positions 28 to 507 of the family's 1533-position model. The record is from RNAcentral.
GACGAACGCUGGCGGCGUGCUUAACACAUGCCAGUCGAACGGAAAGGCCAGUGCUUGCCCUGGUACUCGAGUGGCGAACGGGUGAGUAACACGUGGGUGAUCUGCCUUGCACUCUGGGAUAAGCUUGGGAAACUGGGUCUAAUACCGGAUAUGAACUGCCUUUAGUGUGGUGGUUGGAAAGUUUUUUCGGUGCAAGAUGAGCUCGCGGCCUAUCAGCUUGUUGGUGGGGUAAUGGCCUACCAAGGCGUCGACGGGUAGCCGGCCUGAGAGGGUGUACGGCCACAUUGGGACUGAGAUACGGCCCAGACUCCUACGGGAGGCAGCAGUGGGGAAUAUUGCACAAUGGGCGGAAGCCUGAUGCAGCGACGCCGCGUGGGGGAUGACGGCCUUCGGGUUGUAAACUCCUUUCGACAGGGACGAAGCGUAAGUGACGGUACCUGUAGAAGAAGCACCGGCUAACUACGUG